GAUGAACGCUGGCGGCGUGCCUAAUACAUGCAAGUCGAGCGAACGGACGAGAAGCUUGCUUCUCUGAUGUUAGCGGCGGACGGGUGAGUAACACGUGGAUAACCUACCUAUAAGACUGGGAUAACUUCGGGAAACCGGAGCUAAUACCGGAUAAUAUUUUGAACCGCAUGGUUCAAAAGUGAAAGACGGUCUUGCUGUCACUUAUAGAUGGAUCCGCGCUGCAUUAGCUAGUUGGUAAGGUAACGGCUUACCAAGGCAACGAUGCGUAGCCGACCUGAGAGGGUGAUCGGCCACACUGGAACUGAGACACGGUCCAGACUCCUACGGGAGGCAGCAGUAGGGAAUCUUCCGCAAUGGGCGAAAGCCUGACGGAGCAACGCCGCGUGAGUGAUGAAGGUCUUCGGAUCGUAAAACUCUGUUAUUAGGGAAGAACAUAUGUGUAAGUAACUGUGCACAUCUUGACGGUACCCAAUCAGAAAGCCACGGCUAACUACGUG
This 497-nucleotide ribosomal RNA is filed under the name uncultured bacterium. RNAcentral describes it as "partial 16S ribosomal RNA". It matches the Rfam family "Bacterial small subunit ribosomal RNA", at positions 28 to 507 of the family's 1533-position model. The record is from RNAcentral.